AUUGAACGCUGGCGGCAGGCCUAACACAUGCAAGUCGAGCGAGCGGCGGACGGGUGAGUAAUGUAUGGGGACUGCCCGAUAGAGGGGGAUAACCACUGGAAACGGUAGCUUAUACCCCAUACUACUGUCUUUCUCAUAUGGGAUUAGCUAGUUGGUGAGGUAAUGGCUUACCUAGGCAACGAUCCCUAGCUGGUCUGAGAGGGUGAUCAGCCACACUGGGACUGAGACACGGCCCAGACUCCUACGGAGGUAGCAGUGGGGAAUAUUGCGCAAUGGGCGCAAGCCUGAUGGAGCCAUGCCGCGUGUAUGAAGAAGGCCCUAGGAUUGUAAAGUACUUUCAGUAGGGAGGCGUUACCGACAGAAGAAGCACCGGCUAACUCCGUGCCAGCAGCCGCGGUAAUAC
This 403-nucleotide ribosomal RNA is filed under the name uncultured bacterium. Its description in RNAcentral is "partial 16S ribosomal RNA". It matches the Rfam family "Bacterial small subunit ribosomal RNA", at positions 30 to 526 of the family's 1533-position model. The record is from RNAcentral.